GGUCAAGCUUCAACACAACCGAUCACAACAAGCACGUGAAAAUAUGGAAAUGCAAAGUGUGCAGGUUUAAAGGAAGAAAAGGCCUGAAGAUGAAUCAGUGGAGUGAGGAGAGUAUGAAAGCUGCAAUAGAGGAGUUGCUACGAUUGCUGGCAAGGAAGUGGAACGUGCCAAAAACGACCCUUCAGAGACACCUGAAAGGGCUCAUCGAGGGAUCCGAGCAUACGUCUGGAAGAAAGCCAUUCAUCCCUGUUGAAUCUGAGCGGGAGUUCGCGCGCCUUCUCACCUUGCUUUCAGAGAGAGGCUUCUCCUUGAGGAAGACUGAUGUUCAGUCUCUUGCUUUUGAGUUUGCCUAGAUAAAUGGCAUCCGAGGGUUUUCAGAAGAGAAGCAAAAGGCAGGCUAUUACUGGUUCGAGGGCUUUAUGAAGCGAAACCCCGGGGCUGAAAAUAAAGAACCCUGAGACCACAUCACCAGCUACAAGGUUGAAUGAAGAAGAGCUGGAAAAAUGGUUCAUGAUGUAUUAAAACACCCUUGAUGCUUUGGGAAUUAAACACGUCCCUUCACAUAUUUGGAAGUGUGAUUUAUCAGGACUAAAACAAGUUCUCCUCUCAACAAUCUGUCGGGGAGGGACAAGAUCCCAGCGUUCAGAUCACAACCGAGGAGGAAACGGCCUCAACUACACUAGCAGCACUAAAUAUCAGUAGUGCAUUUGCUCCUCCGCUUAUCAUUUUCAAAGGAAUUAAUGUGAGAAAUGAGUGGAUGAAUGAGACUCUGGAAAACCUGUCUGUGAGAGCAUCGGGUACAGCAGAGGUGUUCAUUGAUUGGGGGAAAUGUUUGUGGCUCAGCUCCCAAAAGAUGACUCCAGGCCCCACCUUCUGCUCCUCGAUGGCCAGAGCUGCCACGUCUUCAACCUCAGCUUCCUCAGUCUCAUGAAGCAGAACAACGUGGAAUUCAUAUGCUUUCCUGCGCCGCAGCCGACAGCCAACACAGCUCUGUUUGGGAGCCUCAAACACAACUGGUGUGAACUGUGAAGUGAGUCACAAGUGAAUUCAGCAGCGUGCAAGAAUGAAGUUGGCCAAAGCACAUUAUUGUUCUGUUUUCAUGGACGUGUGGAAGAAAACUGCCACUGUUGAACGAGCCAAAGAUGUGUUCAGAACAACAGGGAUGUUCCCAAUAAAUGAGUUUACCUUCAUUGGGCAUGAAAGCACCACGCUAUCCGCCGAAGACGCCGCACAUUGCAACCCUGAUGAAGUGGCAUCAUUCACAGACUUUGUGGUCAUACAAAAAAGCCAAGACAGUACCAUAUUUACAAAGAAACUCAGAAUACCUUCUUUAUGAUCAACAUUUAAAACAAAGAAAUGAACAGAAUAAAGCAGCCACCUCCUACAAGAGAGGCUGCUUCAUAAACCACGGCUCAGACGGUGAUCUGAAAGCUGCUGAAGCGUGGAGCAGAUGCAGGAACUGUAAGGCCUGCUACCAUGAGUCUUGUGCAGAAGAGGAUGAUGGAGAUGGUGAUAAUCAAUAAACUGAAGCGUGGAAAGAACAAGAAAACAC
Molecule: long non-coding RNA, 1552 nt
Organism: Cyprinus carpio carpio
Lineage: Eukaryota; Metazoa; Chordata; Actinopteri; Cypriniformes; Cyprinidae
Source: Ensembl